RNAcentral lists this long non-coding RNA (1016 nucleotides) under Cyanistes caeruleus (blue tit). Its description in RNAcentral is "lncRNA (ENSCCEG00000007312.1)". The record is from RNAcentral. Lineage: Eukaryota; Metazoa; Chordata; Aves; Passeriformes; Paridae.
AUGACAGGAUUUUUUUUUAGGGAUUUUUUUUUUUUUCCCAUGUGUGAAACUUCAGCACCUGCCUGGGUUUAUUCCUCCCAGCUGAGCAUCCUCGUGCUGAGCAAGGAUCCCCUAAAAUCUGCUUCAUCCUGGUGCUCUCCCCAGUGGAGCCAGAGCUGGAUCACUGCCCACAUCCCCCCCCUGCUCAGCCCUGCCUGGGGGAGAGGCCAAAGCUCUCCCACCCUGCUCCAGGUGGGAAUUUUCCAGGUGGGAACCAAAGGAUUGUCAGGUGUCACUGCUGUCCCAGGGGGCCUUUCCAUGCUGGGAGACUUCCAGCCGGCAAUACAAUCCUAUUUCAGAAAGAUUUGGGAUUUUCCCAUGACCCUGGGAUGAAGGUCUGGGCUGGUUUUAGACACAAAUCCAGAAAUAGCCAAAACCUGUGUGCUGCUUUCUUUGGAACAGCUUUGUCCAGGAGGGGAGGAGAUUUUUAUGGGGGGUUUUUUAGGUUAUAAAAGCAGCUGAGUGCCAAGCAGAGAGGCUGAUCCCUGCUUUGCCUUGUCCUGUCCUUGUGUCCUGUCCUUCCCUCGUGCAAAAUUCCUCCUGCAGAGAGAAUUCCACCAUUCCCAGCACAGGACAGGCCUGCAGAUGCCUUUCCCAGGCUUUGAGCCCUGUAAGAGCUGUAGAAAUCCCGUGGCUGUGCAUGCCUCCAGCCCUCGGGAUGGGUUUUUCUACCGGACCUGUCGCAUUUCCCGAGACCAAAUUCCAGCGGGGAUGGGGCUCUGUCCCUCGCUGUGCCCCUGCCGCGCUCCCCUUCGGUAUUUUACUGUGAAUUCCGACCCUUUUGUAAAGCCACAGCAAUUUUGUACUGACCCGAGAUACUGUGUGGAGGGAGGAGCCUCUCCCCCCUGGAAUGUCACGCCGAGUUUUUUUUUCCCGGAGUUUUCUUCCCGGAGUUUCCUGCCGGUGAAUCGCUGCAGCUGUGUUUCUGCUCUCAAGAUGUAAAUAAAGAUUUUCUCCUGCUGAUCUCUGUGCCUGUG